Molecule: ribosomal RNA, 452 nt
Filed under: uncultured Thiothrix sp.
Lineage: Bacteria; Pseudomonadati; Pseudomonadota; Gammaproteobacteria; Thiotrichales; Thiotrichaceae
Description: bacterial SSU rRNA
Rfam family: Bacterial small subunit ribosomal RNA
Source: RNAcentral
GCGGUGGAGCAUGUGGUUUAAUUUCGAAGCAACGCGAAGAACCUUACCUGGCCUUGACAUGCUGAGAACUUUCCAGAGAUGGAUUGGUGCCUUCGGGAACUCAGACACAGGUGCUGCAUGGCUGUCGUCAGCUCGUGUCGUGAGAUGUUGGGUUAAGUCCCGCAACGAGCGCAACCCUUGUCAUUAGUUGCUACAUUCAGUUGGGCACUCUAAUGAGACUGCCGGUGACAAACCGGAGGAAGGUGGGGAUGACGUCAAGUCCUCAUGGCCCUUAUAGGUGGGGCUACACACGUCAUACAAUGGCUGGUACAAAGGGUUGCCAACCCGCGAGGGGGAGCCAAUCCCAUAAAGCCAGUCGUAGUCCGGAUCGUAGUCUGCAACUCGACUACGUGAAGUCGGAAUCGCUAGUAAUCGUGGAUCAGAAUGUCACGGUGAAUACGUUCCCGGGUCUU